AUGUCUUCAGAAUCACAAAUAAACGCACAACUGUGGAAAACAGUUUUAAAUCCCAUCCUCCCCUCCUUCUGGCUCUCGCCAGUGUUCGCCUCCGAAUUAAAUGACUGUUAUUGUGUAUCGGCCCGCAUUACAGCAAAGACUUGCUUAUUUCUCAUUUGCAAAUUGCGGACUCUAUUGCAAGAUUUCAGAGAAUGUUUCCUUAGAGGAAAAAUUUUAAAUCUCGUUUUCUCUCCUUUUCUUCCGAAGAAGUCGACAUUUGGUCUAGGAAAUGGAACUCUUCAGGAGGUAGGGGUGGCACUCUUGGAAACCUCCAAAAACAGCUUCAGGAGUCAAAACCCAGUGGUGCCUCCAGCUGGAAAAUGUAUGCCCAAUGGAAGACUCCUGUAGCCUCUCACACACUGUGAGCCUAAGACGGGUACCUAAUUCUUAGAGUCGAAUGGCAUGGCAGCCCUUUUUCUCCAUGAAAGAAAACACCCUGGGAGAUGGUAGGUUUCCUCUUGGGUUGCUCUCAAAUUAAUGACCUUGCCCUUUUCCAGCACUUUCCCCACUGAAAGGAUGCAAAAAUGCAGCACUAUUUAACAGAUUCAGGGAGGGAGUUCCCUGGUGGUCUAGUG
RNAcentral lists this long non-coding RNA (614 nucleotides) under Sus scrofa (pig). RNAcentral describes it as "lncRNA (ENSSSCG00025059848.1)". Lineage: Eukaryota; Metazoa; Chordata; Mammalia; Artiodactyla; Suidae. The record is from RNAcentral.